AGUCUCUCCAACCCAGCGAGUAUUAGGGGCGGGGGUGGGGUGGGGGAGUAAGCCGGGGUAGCCGGGAGCUGCGGUGCAGGAAGUGAACCGCAUUGUGUGGUGGUGGCUCACACUAGUGCCCUGAGGACCGGCCCACUUCCUCGCCUAAAUUUUGCACAUGGAGUCUGAUCUCACUGAAGACCGUCUCUCCGAGCUAACAAUAGAGCCCCUCGGUUUGUCAGGUAGGGACAAAGGGAAUGAAUAUUCACCAAGUUAAUCCCUUCUAGUUCUUCAGUGGGAAAGAGAUGGAAGAGGCAGUAAAACAAUUAUCCAAACUUCCUUAGCUAUCUUGGCUGGGCGUGGUUUGGCUGAAUAAUAUUCCAUUACCACAUAUACAUCUUCCAUAGUAGAUGUUGUGUUUUUAUUUCUCCACGGAUGGACACUUGGGCAAGUCCCACCUUCCGCCGUUCUGAAUGAUGCUACUGUGAACCGGUGUCCAAGUGUCUGUUCAACUCCCUGCUUCCAUUCCUUUGGAUGCUUAUCUAAAAGUAGACUUGCUGGGUCACGUGGCGCUCUGUGUUUAACUUUCUGCAAAGCCAUGAUCAGGCUGUUUUGAUGCAUGAGUAGGAAAAAGAAGAAGAAGAAGAAGAAGAAGAAGAAGAAGAAAAGAAGAAGAAGAAGAAGAAGAGGAUGAGGAGGAGGAGGAGGAGGAAGAGGAGGAGGAGGAAGAGGAGGAAGAGGAAGAGGAAGAAGAGGAAGAUGCUUCUGGGCUCUCCUGGCUUCAUGGGGGAUGUAAUUCUUAUGCUACGAAGUUCACCAUUUUAAGGCCUUCAAUAUUAAACAUCAUCUCCACCAUGAAACCAAGGAGUACCCUUCUCUUGCUCAUGAUGGUAUCCCUUCCACAUAGUCUGGCCUACAGUAGUUACUCAAUAAAGUUUGACUUAAUUGCAUGCUUGAAUAAAAA
This 943-nucleotide long non-coding RNA is filed under the name Mus musculus (house mouse). RNAcentral's name for it is "RIKEN cDNA 4930511P09 gene, transcript variant 2 (4930511P09Rik)". The record is from RNAcentral. Lineage: Eukaryota; Metazoa; Chordata; Mammalia; Rodentia; Muridae.